This 580-nucleotide long non-coding RNA is filed under the name Equus asinus (donkey). RNAcentral's name for it is "lncRNA (ENSEASG00005032273.1)". Lineage: Eukaryota; Metazoa; Chordata; Mammalia; Perissodactyla; Equidae. The record is from RNAcentral.
CUUAAAGCAAGUCAUCCUUGUAGAGUCUGGGGAAGAGCAUUCCAAGAAGGGGAGCAGUGAGGGUGAAAGCCCUGGAACAGGGAUGCCGAGAAACAACAAGUGGGGUCAGGGUCCCUGGAGAAGAGUGAGUUUGUUGGGGGAAGAGCGAGAGGGCAGGUCGGGCACAAAGGACCAUCGAGGUUUGGGGAACGGCACAGGCGAAGACUUAGGGAGGAAAGUAUAGAUGGCAUCUUGUUUGUCCUUGACCGGGUCCAAAACUGUGCAGCUGUCAGCAGUGGAAGAUGUCGAUUUCCAGCCCCUAACUGCUGAAGGAUUUCUACUCACUAGUAAAGUCUUUGUGCCACUCAGCUCGUCUCCAACGCUUGUCUUGUAUCCGGAGGAACCUUCCCGCCCUUGUCCUUGUGUGUGUUCAGGCAUGCAUGAGUGCACCUCUUCCAUCACUGCCUGAAAAUGGCUGAAUCUACUUUUUUACGGAACAUACGUUCCAUGAGGGUAAAGAUCUUUGUUUUGUCCGCUGAUCUCGCCUCAGCACCUGGGAGAGAUUCUGGCCCAUGCUGUGAGACUGAGAACUGAAAUCCUG